CGGGACACGUGGUAUCCUGUCUGAAUAUGGGGGGACCAUCCUCCAAGGCUAAAUACUCCUGACUGACCGAUAGUGAACCAGUACCGUGAGGGAAAGGCGAAAAGAACCCCGGCGAGGGGAGUGAAAAAGAACCUGAAACCGUGUACGUACAAGCAGUGGGAGCACGCUUAGGCGUGUGACUGCGUACCUUUUGUAUAAUGGGUCAGCGACUUAUAUUCUGUAGCAAGGUUAACCGAAUAGGGGAGCCGAAGGGAAACCGAGUCUUAACUGGGCGUUAAGUUGCAGGGUAUAGACCCGAAACCCGGUGAUCUAGCCAUGGGCAGGUUGAAGGUUGGGUAACACUAACUGGAGGACCGAACCGACUAAUGUUGAAAAAUUAGCGGAUGACUUGUGGCUGGGGGUGAAAGGCCAAUCAAACCGGGAGAUAGCUGGUUCUCCCCGAAAGCUAUUUAGGUAGCGCCUCGUGAAUUCAUCUCCGGGGGUAGAGCACUGUUUCGGCAAGGGGGUCAUCCCGACUUACCAACCCGAUGCAAACUGCGAAUACCGGAGAAUGUUAUCACGGGAGACACACGGCGGGUGCUAACGUCCGUCGUGAAGAGGGAAACAACCCAGACCGCCAGCUAAGGUCCCAAAGUCAUGGUUAAGUGGGAAACGAUGUGGGAAGGCCCAGACAGCCAGGAUGUUGGCUUAGAAGCAGCCAUCAUUUAAAGAAAGCGUAAUAGCUCACUGGUCGAGUCGGCCUGCGCGGAAGAUGUAACGGGGCUAAACCAUGCACCGAAGCUGCGGCAGCGACGCUUAUGCGUUGUUGGGUAGGGGAGCGUUCUGUAAGCCUGUGAAGGUGUACUGUGAGGUAUGCUGGAGGUAUCAGAAGUGCGAAUGCUGACAUAAGUAACGAUAAAGCGGGUGAAAAGCCCGCUCGCCGGAAGACCAAGGGUUCCUGUCCAACGUUAAUCGGGGCAGGGUGAGUCGACCCCUAAGGCGAGGCCGAAAGGCGUAGUCGAUGGGAAACAGGUUAAUAUUCCUGUACUUGGUGUUACUGCGAAGGGGGGACGGAGAAGGCUAUGUUGGCCGGGCGACGGUUGUCCCGGUUUAAGCGUGUAGGCUGGUUUUCCAGGCAAAUCCGGAAAAUCAAGGCUGAGGCGUGAUGACGAGGCACUACGGUGCUGAAGCAACAAAUGCCCUGCUUCCAGGAAAAGCCUCUAAGCAUCAGGUAACAUCAAAUCGUACCCCAAACCGACACAGGUGGUCAGGUAGAGAAUACCAAGGCGCUUGAGAGAACUCGGGUGAAGGAACUAGGCAAAAUGGUGCCGUAACUUCGGGAGAAGGCACGCUGAUAUGUAGGUGAAGUCCCUCGCGGAUGGAGCUGAAAUCAGUCGAAGAUACCAGCUGGCUGCAACUGUUUAUUAAAAACACAGCACUGUGCAAACACGAAAGUGGACGUAUACGGUGUGACGCCUGCCCGGUGCCGGAAGGUUAAUUGAUGGGGU
Molecule: ribosomal RNA, 1487 nt
Filed under: Escherichia coli
Lineage: Bacteria; Pseudomonadati; Pseudomonadota; Gammaproteobacteria; Enterobacterales; Enterobacteriaceae
Description: partial 23S ribosomal RNA
Rfam family: Bacterial large subunit ribosomal RNA
Source: RNAcentral